This 760-nucleotide ribosomal RNA is filed under the name human gut metagenome. RNAcentral describes it as "bacterial SSU rRNA". It matches the Rfam family "Bacterial small subunit ribosomal RNA", at positions 583 to 1348 of the family's 1533-position model. The record is from RNAcentral.
UUAAGUUAGUGGUUAAAUAUUUGAGCUAAACUCAAUUGUGCCAUUAAUACUGGUAAACUGGAGUACAGACGAGGUAGGCGGAAUAAGUUAAGUAGCGGUGAAAUGCAUAGAUAUAACUUAGAACUCCGAUAGCGAAGGCAGCUUACCAGACUGUAACUGACGCUGAUGCACGAGAGCGUGGGUAGCGAACAGGAUUAGAUACCCUGGUAGUCCACGCUGUAAACGAUGCUCACUGGUUCUGUGCGAUAUAUUGUACGGGAUUAAGCGAAAGUAUUAAGUGAGCCACCUGGGGAGUACGUCGGCAACGAUGAAACUCAAAGGAAUUGACGGGGGCCCGCACAAGCGGAGGAACAUGUGGUUUAAUUCGAUGAUACGCGAGGAACCUUACCUGGGUUUAAAUGGGAAAUGUCGUAUUUGGAAACAGAUAUUCUCUUCGGAGCGUUUUUCAAGGUGCUGCAUGGUUGUCGUCAGCUCGUGCCGUGAGGUGUCGGGUUAAGUCCCAUAACGAGCGCAACCCUUACCGUUAGUUGCUAGCAUGUAAUGAUGAGCACUCUAACGGGACUGCCACCGUAAGGUGUGAGGAAGGCGGGGAUGACGUCAAAUCAGCACGGCCCUUACGCCCGGGGCUACACACGUGUUACAAUGGCCGGUACAGAGGGCCGCUACCAGGUGACUGGAUGCCAAUCUCAAAAGCCGGUCGUAGUUCGGAUUGGAGUCUGCAACCCGACUCCAUGAAGCUGGAUUCGCUAGUAAUCGCGCA